AUGCCUUACACAUGCAAGUCGAACGGCAGCGGGGGUAGCUUGCUACCUGCCGGCGAGUGGCGAACGGGUGAGUAAUACAUCGGAACGUGCCCUGUAGUGGGGGAUAACUAGUCGAAAGACUAGCUAAUACCGCAUACGACCUGAGGGUGAAAGUGGGGGACCGCAAGGCCUCAUGCUAUAGGAGCGGCCGAUGUCUGAUUAGCUAGUUGGUGGGGUAAAGGCCUACCAAGGCGACGAUCAGUAGCUGGUCUGAGAGGACGAUCAGCCACACUGGGACUGAGACACGGCCCAG
Molecule: ribosomal RNA, 292 nt
Filed under: Ralstonia solanacearum
Lineage: Bacteria; Pseudomonadati; Pseudomonadota; Betaproteobacteria; Burkholderiales; Burkholderiaceae
Description: partial 16S subunit of ribosomal RNA
Rfam family: Bacterial small subunit ribosomal RNA
Source: RNAcentral